Molecule: small nucleolar RNA, 68 nt
Organism: Octodon degus (degu)
Lineage: Eukaryota; Metazoa; Chordata; Mammalia; Rodentia; Octodontidae
Gene: SNORD98
Product: small nucleolar RNA, C/D box 98
Source: Ensembl
GAGUUAUGAUGUGUAAAUCCUAUUCCAUUGCUGAAAUGCAGUGUGGAACAUGAUGAUGAACUGAACUC